This 1046-nucleotide long non-coding RNA is filed under the name Coccomyxa subellipsoidea. RNAcentral's name for it is "long non-coding RNA (CSUB_LNC000403)". Lineage: Eukaryota; Viridiplantae; Chlorophyta; Trebouxiophyceae; Coccomyxaceae. The record is from RNAcentral.
CUAUUCACAUGCAAACCUAUCCUUGGACUCGUAAAUGUUUGCUAUUUUCUAUGUUUUUAAACGUACGACAAUGUUCAUCUCACCCUCUCUGUAAUGCAGACACAUCAGCUCAUGCCAACCUUGAGAAUGUUCUUGUCAAUAUGCCCAGCAUUCCACGAGGUCAUGACCAUGAUCAUAACAUGAUCAGUGAUCAUGAUCAGCACCGUGCUGGAAGUUAUCAUUAAAUUCCACAGAAGCAGAUAAGGGCAUAAGUCAUUCAAUCUACAGCGUUUGUGUGGCAGGGCUGGGUUCGGUCCUGCGCUGGUCAGGAGUCUGACACAAGGCAGAUGUUCAACAGGCUUGCCUCACCUGUACAGCACUAAUUGCUGCCAGAUCUGAGUCGUCCUCCUAUGAGAAAGAGUCAUUUUCAAGCAUAUCACACUGGCGAUCCCACUGCAUACAUCUAUGCACACCCUCUGCUGUGACUACCAGGUGCAGUCACGAGUCUGCUCUAGGCUGGUGAUGAGGACAGCUGCCAGGGAGCGGGUGCGGCCAACAAUGUCCGGCAGUGCCCGCGCAACAUCGGGUGUGCACGCUUUGUGCGCUGUCAACACGUCCUGAGUGGCCUGUAAUGCACAGUAACACACUCGGCCUUGCAGUGAUCUUUUUUGACACGGAGUAAUGUUGAGGUGCUUCAAGCACACCCCACAACAAUAGCGGUCCGCAUGGUGAUUGCCAGAUGUGGGACUGGUGAAGACGGUAGGCGUCUGAGUCACUCAGCUGUGGUCAUUCAGUUGAAAGACAUCGUUCCCAGUCAAUUCCGGGCUGGUCUGAUGCCUGACUCCGAGCCUUGGAUACAUUCAUACUCAGCGGCCAAAUUGGGAUCCAACACUGGGAAAGAAGUUUGGCGACACGAGCAAGAUUAAAUGCCAGCCAAAAUUUGCAACAUAGUUGGACCAUGAGGAGACAUCAGUGCUUCACUUGGGCCACAUCAGCGCUGGCGCUGACAUCAUCGUGCAGCACAUGCAUCCAGCCUGGCAGCAGGCCCAUGCAGUCCUCCAGCAGCA